GUCCCCAUCGUCUAGAGGCCUAGGACACCGCCCUUUCACGGCGGCGACCGGAGUUCGAAUCUCCGUGGGGACGCCA
This 76-nucleotide transfer RNA is filed under the name Lamprocystis purpurea. RNAcentral describes it as "tRNA-Glu". It matches the Rfam family "tRNA". Rfam says of the family: Transfer RNA (tRNA) molecules are approximately 80 nucleotides in length. Their secondary structure includes four short double-helical elements and three loops (D, anti-codon, and T loops). Lineage: Bacteria; Pseudomonadati; Pseudomonadota; Gammaproteobacteria; Chromatiales; Chromatiaceae. RNAcentral also lists the same sequence under 2 other names. The record is from RNAcentral.